Molecule: ribosomal RNA, 484 nt
Filed under: uncultured bacterium
Lineage: Bacteria
Description: partial 16S ribosomal RNA
Rfam family: Bacterial small subunit ribosomal RNA
Source: RNAcentral
AUUGAACGCUGGCGGCAGGCCUAACACAUGCAAGUCGAGCGGAUGAAGGGAGCUUGCUCCUGGAUUCAGCGGCGGACGGGUGAGUAAUGCCUAGGAAUCUGCCUGGUAGUGGGGGAUAACGUCCGGAAACGGGCGCUAAUACCGCAUACGUCCUGAGGGAGAAAGUGGGGGAUCUUCGGACCUCACGCUAUCAGAUGAGCCUAGGUCGGAUUAGCUAGUUGGUGGGGUAAAGGCCUACCAAGGCGACGAUCCGUAACUGGUCUGAGAGGAUGAUCAGUCACACUGGAACUGAGACACGGUCCAGACUCCUACGGGAGGCAGCAGUGGGGAAUAUUGGACAAUGGGCGAAAGCCUGAUCCAGCCAUGCCGCGUGUGUGAAGAAGGUCUUCGGAUUGUAAAGCACUUUAAGUUGGGAGGAAGGGAAGUAAGUUAAUACCUUGAUGUUUUGACGUUACCAACAGAAUAAGCACCGGCUAACUUCGUG